Molecule: ribosomal RNA, 467 nt
Filed under: uncultured bacterium
Lineage: Bacteria
Description: bacterial SSU rRNA
Rfam family: Bacterial small subunit ribosomal RNA
Source: RNAcentral
GACACGCUGGCGGCGUGCCUGACACAUGCAAGUCGGACGGUUCUUGUAUCUUCAAGCUUGCUUGCAGGUGCAAGGAUAGUGGCGGACGGGUGAGUAACGCGUGAACAUCUACCCAUUGGAGGGGGACAACCCGUCGAAAGGCGGGCUAAUACCGCGUAAGCCGCGAGGUGAGAGGCUGCCUAUUGGUGGCCGCCGAUGGAUGGGUUCGCGUCCUAUCAGCUGGUUGGUGGGGUAACGGCCUACCAAGGCGAAGACGGGUAGCCGGCCUGAGAGGGUGACCGGCCACACUGGGACUGAGACACGGCCCAGACUCCUACGGGGGGCAGCAGUGGGGAAUCUUGCACAAUGGGCGAAAGCCUGAUGCAGCGACGCCGCGUGAGCGAAGAAGGCCUUCGGGUUGUAAAGCUCUGUCUGGAGGGACGAAGGAAGUGACGGUACCUCCGGAGGAAGCCACGGCUAACUACGUG